Molecule: long non-coding RNA, 219 nt
Organism: Herpailurus yagouaroundi (jaguarundi)
Lineage: Eukaryota; Metazoa; Chordata; Mammalia; Carnivora; Felidae
Exons: 3
Source: RefSeq, a predicted model, not a curated record
CUCUCGUACCAAAGUCUUGGCAAACAAUAUCACCUAAGACCACAUCUGUGAACAUUUCUGAAAUCUCUGAGACUUCACCAAAUCCAACAUGUGAAGUGCUUAUCCUCCAGGCCCAUCAAAUCCGUCUUUGAUUCGAGUAUCCAGUUCUACCCCAUGCGACUUCUGUAACGCGAAGGGGCAGAGAAGACCCCCCACAUACAAGAAUACUUGAGCCAUCAC